Molecule: ribosomal RNA, 440 nt
Filed under: uncultured bacterium
Lineage: Bacteria
Description: bacterial SSU rRNA
Rfam family: Bacterial small subunit ribosomal RNA
Source: RNAcentral
CCUACGGGGGGCUGCAGUGGGGAAUAUUGCACAAUGGGGGAAACCCUGAUGCAGCAACGCCGCGUGAGCGAUGAAGGCCUUCGGGUCGUAAAGCUCUGUCCCAAGGGAAGAAUACUGACGGUACCUUCGGAGGAAGCCACGACUAACUACGUGCCAGCGGACGCGGUAAUACGUAGGGGGCUAGCGUUAUCGGGAAUUACUGGGCGUAAGGGGUGCGUAGGCGGCCCUUCAAGUCAGAGGGGAAAGGUGACGACUCAACCGUAGUAAGCCUUAGAUACUGUAGGGAUAGAGUGCAGGAGAGGAGAGUUGAUUUCCCAGUUUAGCGGUGAAAAGCGUAUAUAUAGUUGGGAACAACAGUUGCGAAGGCGGCUCACUGGACUGUAACUGACGCUGAGGAACAAGAACGUGGGGAGGAAGCAGGAUGAGAUUCCCCGGUAAUC